UGGGGAAUAUUGGACAAUGGGCGCAAGCCUGAUCCAGCCAUGCCGCGUGUGUGAAGAAGGCCUUAGGGUUGUAAAGCACUUUCAGUGGGGAGGAAGGGUGUUGUGUUAAUAGCACGGCAUUUUGACGUUACCCACAGAAGAAGCACCGGCUAACUCCGUGCCAGCAGCCGCGGUAAUACGGAGGGUGCAAGCGUUAAUCGGAAUUACUGGGCGUAAAGCGCACGCAGGCGGCUUUUUAAGUCGGAUGUGAAAAGCCCCGGGCUCAACCUGGGAAUUGCAUCUGAUACUGGGAAGCUAGAGUAUGUGAGAGGGGGGUAGAAUUCCAAGUGUAGCGGUGAAAUGCGUAGAGAUUUGGAGGAAUACCAGUGGCGAAGGCGGCCCCCUGGCACAAUACUGACGCUCAGGUGCGAAAGCGUGGGGAGCAAAACAGGAUUAGAUACCCUGGUAGUCCACGCCGUAAAACGAUGUCUACUAGAUGUUCGUGGUCUUGUACCGUGAGUAUCGCAGCUAACGCAUUAAGUAGACCGCCUGGGGAGUACGGUCGCAAGAUUAAAAACUCAAAUGAAUUGACGGGGUCAUAGCUGUUUCCU
This 590-nucleotide ribosomal RNA is filed under the name uncultured bacterium. RNAcentral's name for it is "partial 16S ribosomal RNA". It matches the Rfam family "Bacterial small subunit ribosomal RNA", at positions 355 to 1375 of the family's 1533-position model. The record is from RNAcentral.